UACGUAGGUGGCAAGCGUUGUCCGGAUUUACCGGGCGUAAAGAGCGCGCAGGCGGUCGUGCAAGUCGCGUGUGAAAGCCCCCGGCUCAACUGGGGAGGGUCACUCGAUACUGAUCGACUCGAAGGCAGAAGAGGGAAGCGGAAUUCCCGGUGUAGUGGUGAAAUGCGUAGAUAUCGGGAGGAACACCAGUGGCGAAGGCGGCUUUCUGGUCUGCUCUUGACGCUGAGGCGCGAAAGCUAGGGUAGCAAACGGG
Molecule: ribosomal RNA, 253 nt
Filed under: uncultured bacterium
Lineage: Bacteria
Description: partial 16S ribosomal RNA
Rfam family: Bacterial small subunit ribosomal RNA
Source: RNAcentral